RNAcentral lists this small nucleolar RNA (104 nucleotides) under Triticum dicoccoides. RNAcentral describes it as "snoRNA SNORD14". Lineage: Eukaryota; Viridiplantae; Streptophyta; Magnoliopsida; Poales; Poaceae. The record is from RNAcentral.
UGGUAAUGUAUGCCCAAGGCUUGUUUCUCAAAACAUUUGCAGUUGCCGUCUAAGAGCCAAGCUUUAGCUAAUGUUGUUAGAUCCUUCCUUGGAUGUCUAGGGCA